This 477-nucleotide ribosomal RNA is filed under the name Burkholderiaceae bacterium oral taxon D14. RNAcentral describes it as "bacterial SSU rRNA". It matches the Rfam family "Bacterial small subunit ribosomal RNA", at positions 30 to 500 of the family's 1533-position model. Lineage: Bacteria; Pseudomonadati; Pseudomonadota; Betaproteobacteria; Burkholderiales; Burkholderiaceae. The record is from RNAcentral.
AUUGAACGCUGCGGCAUGCCUUACACAUGCAAGUCGAACGGCAGCACGGAGCUUGCUCUGGUGGCGAGUGGCGAACGGGUGAGUAAUAUAUCGGAACGUACCCUAGAGUGGGGGAUAACGUAGCGAAAGUUACGCUAAUACCGCAUACGAUCUAAGGAUGAAAGUGGGGGAUCGCAAGACCUCAUGCUCGUGGAGCGGCCGAUAUCUGAUUAGCUAGUUGGUAGGGUAAAAGCCUACCAAGGCAUCGAUCAGUAGCUGGUCUGAGAGGACGACCAGCCACACUGGAACUGAGACACGGUCCAGACUCCUACGGGAGGCAGCAGUGGGGAAUUUUGGACAAUGGGCGAAAGCCUGAUCCAGCAAUGCCGCGUGAGUGAAGAAGGCCUUCGGGUUGUAAAGCUCUUUUGUCAGGGAAGAAACGGUGAGAGCUAAUAUCUCCUUGCUAAUGACGGUACCUGAAGAAUAAGCACCGGCUAA